UACAUGCAAGUCGAGCGAACAGACGAGGAGCUUGCUCCUCUGACGUUAGCGGCGGACGGGUGAGUAACACGUGGAUAACCUACCUAUAAGACUGGGAUAACUUCGGGAAACCGGAGCUAAUACCGGAUAAUAUAUUGAACCGCAUGGUUCAAUAGUGAAAGACGGUUUUGCUGUCACUUAUAGAUGGAUCCGCGCCGCAUUAGCUAGUUGGUAAGGUAACGGCUUACCAAGGCAACGAUGCGUAGCCGACCUGAGAGGGUGAUCGGCCACACUGGAACUGAGACACGGUCCAGACUCCUACGGGAGGCAGCAGUAGGGAAUCUUCCGCAAUGGGCGAAAGCCUGACGGAGCAACGCCGCGUGAGUGAUGAAGGUCUUCGGAUCGUAAAACUCUGUUAUUAGGGAAGAACAAAUGUGUAAGUAACUAUGCACGUCUUGACGGUACCUAAUCAGAAAGCCACGGCUAACUACGUGCCAGCAGCCGCGGUAAUACGUAGGUGGCAAGCGUUAUCCGGAAUUAUUGGGCGUAAAGCGCGCGUAGGCGGUUUUUUAAGUCUGAUGUGAAAGCCCACGGCUCAACCGUGGAGGGUCAUUGGAAACUGGAAAACUUGAGUGCAGAAGAGGAAAGUGGAAUUCCAUGUGUAGCGGUGAAAUGCGCAGAGAUAUGGAGGAACACCAGUGGCGAAGGCGACUUUCUGGUCUGUAACUGACGCUGAUGUGCGAAAGCGUGGGGAUCAAACAGGAUUAGAUACCCUGGUAGUCCACGCCGUAAACGAUGAGUGCU
This 783-nucleotide ribosomal RNA is filed under the name uncultured Staphylococcus sp. RNAcentral's name for it is "bacterial SSU rRNA". It matches the Rfam family "Bacterial small subunit ribosomal RNA", at positions 52 to 817 of the family's 1533-position model. The record is from RNAcentral. Lineage: Bacteria; Bacillati; Bacillota; Bacilli; Caryophanales; Staphylococcaceae.